This 51-nucleotide non-coding RNA is filed under the name unclassified sequences. The record is from RNAcentral.
CGGUAUCAUAGAGAAGCCUUCCCGUGGCGAUACUGUUUUGACUAAUUCUCU